UCCUGGCUCAGAUUGAACGCUGGCGGCAUGCUUUACACAUGCAAGUCGAACGGUAACAGGGAGCUUGCUCCGCUGACGAGUGGCGAACGGGUGAGUAAUAUAUCGGAACGUGCCCAAGAGUGGGGGAUAACGUAGCGAAAGUUACGCUAAUACCGCAUACGAUCUAUGGAUGAAAUGGGGGAUCGCAAGACCUCAUGCUCCUGGAGCGGCCGAUAUCUGAUUAGCUAGUUGGUGAGGUAAAGGCUCACCAAGGCGACGAUCAGUAGCUGGUCUGAGAGGACGACCAGCCACACUGGAACUGAGACACGGUCCAGACUCCUACGGGAGGCAGCAGUGGGGAAUUUUGGACAAUGGGGGCAACCCUGAUCCAGCAAUGCCGCGUGAGUGAAGAAGGCCUUCGGGUUGUAAAGCUCUUUUGUCAGGGAAGAAAAGGGUACGGCUAAUAUCCGUACCUCAUGACGGUACCUGAAGAAUAAGCACCGGCUAACUACGUG
This 494-nucleotide ribosomal RNA is filed under the name uncultured Massilia sp. Its description in RNAcentral is "bacterial SSU rRNA". It matches the Rfam family "Bacterial small subunit ribosomal RNA", at positions 17 to 507 of the family's 1533-position model. The record is from RNAcentral. Lineage: Bacteria; Pseudomonadati; Pseudomonadota; Betaproteobacteria; Burkholderiales; Oxalobacteraceae.